Molecule: ribosomal RNA, 344 nt
Filed under: uncultured bacterium
Lineage: Bacteria
Description: bacterial SSU rRNA
Rfam family: Bacterial small subunit ribosomal RNA
Source: RNAcentral
GAUAAACGCUGGCGGCGCACAUAAGACAUGCAAGUCGAACGGAAGUCGUUACGAAACGGAAUGCAAGAUUUAUCUUAAAUGAAGUUUUGUAACAAUGGCUUUAGUGGCGGACUGGUGAGUAACACGUAAGCAACCUGCCUAUUAGAGGGGAAUAACAAUGAGAAAUCAUUGCUAAUACCGCAUAAGCUUGUAGUAUCGCAUGGUACAGCAAGAAAAGGAGUAAUCCGCUAAUAGAUGGGCUUGCGGCUGAUUAGCUAGUUGGUGUGGUAACGGCAUACCAAGGCAACGAUCAGUAGCCGGGCUGAGAGGCUCUGCGGCCACAUUGGGACUGAGAUACGGCCCAG